GACGAACGCUGGCGGCGUGCUUAACACAUGCAAGUCGAACGGAAAGGCCCUGCUUUUGCGGGGUGCUAGAGUGGCGAACGGGUGUGUAACACGUGAGUAACCUGCCCUUGACUGUGGGACAACUUCAGGAAACUGGGGCUAAUACCUGAUAGGUGCGCCUGCUGCAUGGGGGGGGUCGGACAGUUUCGGUGGAUGGGGCUGGACUCGCGGUUAAUCAGCUUGUUGGUGGGGUAGUCGCUUACCAACGGUUCGGCGGGUAGCCCGCGUGAGUGCUUGGACAGCGACCUUACGCCUACGGUACGGCCCAGUCUCCAACGGUAGGCAGCAGUGGGGAAUAUUGCACAAUGGGCGGAAGCCUGAUGCAGAGAUGCCGCGUGCGGGAUGACGGCCUACGGGUUGUAAACCGCAUUCACCUGUGACGAAGCGUGAGUGACGGUAAUGGGUAAAGAAGCACCGGCUAACUACGUG
This 468-nucleotide ribosomal RNA is filed under the name uncultured bacterium. Its description in RNAcentral is "partial 16S ribosomal RNA". It matches the Rfam family "Bacterial small subunit ribosomal RNA", at positions 28 to 507 of the family's 1533-position model. The record is from RNAcentral.